AGACGUGCGAGACCUCAAUGGUUACUGAUCAAACUGUUCCAUGCAUAAAAAUCUUUGAGAUGGGGGUGAUGCCAGAAAUUGGCAAGGCUGUUGAAGAGAUGGACUGGAGCCUCCCAACAGAUGUUCAAGCAGAAGCUAUCCCUAUGGUAUUGGGAGGAGGAGAUGUGUUGAUGGUA
This 176-nucleotide long non-coding RNA is filed under the name Haliotis rubra (blacklip abalone). RNAcentral's name for it is "uncharacterized LOC124279038, transcript variant X1". Lineage: Eukaryota; Metazoa; Mollusca; Gastropoda; Lepetellida; Haliotidae. The record is from RNAcentral.